This 1121-nucleotide long non-coding RNA is filed under the name Sorghum bicolor (sorghum). Its description in RNAcentral is "long non-coding RNA (SBIC_LNC013219)". The record is from RNAcentral. Lineage: Eukaryota; Viridiplantae; Streptophyta; Magnoliopsida; Poales; Poaceae.
UGGCUUGGUCAUCGUGUUUGCGACCACGCUGCUGUGGGGCAACGGGAGGAGGUGGCUAUACUGGCAGGUGGACAAAUUUCUGCUAGAUGUUCUGCAGCCAUGGAUCCGCAGCCGUCGCCACUGAAAUGAAUUUUUAGUGUUUGCAUACUUCAAUGAUAUGUGCAAGAAAAUGAGCAGGCAUCACGCCAUGUUCCUGUUCAACAGCAUUAUUAUGUAUAUUUCAAGCUUGGGAAAUAAAUUUACAUGGUGCUUUCGCAUAGUUAGAUGCUAUAUUUUUGCAAGAGAAAAACUUAGUUGAGGAUCUCAUCUGGAAUUUCAUACCUACUACUAUACUGUGUACAGCUUAUUCGAUAUGAUUAAGAUAUGAAACUCUGCUUUGCCAGGAAAAAGAAUGACGACAGAAAAAAAAAGUACUGAAAAGUUAACAAAACUUUUACUUUUCUUAUAUAUAUACUAAAGAACAUGGUUAAUACCAGUUAAAUGUAAGGUUAACCAAAGCUACAUGGACAAGUCUAUGACAAUUGACAAAGUAUGAACUAACAGCGAUAAUACCUCUGCAUGUCUAAAUUGUAUCGGAACAUAUGCAUUCAGUCUCCUGUUUCCAGGUUAGUAACCAGUGUGUCAUGUAACAACCACAAUAAAACACGAGCAAUUAGUGAUUGCUAAGCACAUAGAUAUUGUACAAAGACAAGAAUUAUGAUUCAUCCUAUGUUUAUAAUAUUAUAGUAAUCAAGGUCAAAUCCAGGAGCAAGUAACUACCAGCAGCGACACACCGCGUCGUUCCAGAAGAGCCAGUGGUGGUGGCGCCGUGGCGGUCUGGCGGAGGCGGGUGCGGAACGAAAGGACCUUGCUUCGGCUGGGCGGCCGGCUGGGGUUGACGGCGGACGCGCGGAGCGUGACGAGGCCAUAACUGUGCGCCGCCGCUUAGGCGCGCUUGUUCCGCGCGGAUGCUGCCAGCACGCCGCGGAAGGACCCACCGCCCACCCAGCCCGCCGGCGUCCUCGUCGGCGAAGGUGACUAUCACGUGGCUGAGGCGGGGAUCCGAGACGAAGGGAAGAGGAGGAGGCGGAGAAUCACGAUACAGGAGAUCCGGGUGAAUGAGCUCGAACCUCGAAUGAAAC